This 255-nucleotide ribosomal RNA is filed under the name uncultured bacterium. RNAcentral describes it as "partial 16S ribosomal RNA". It matches the Rfam family "Bacterial small subunit ribosomal RNA", at positions 99 to 354 of the family's 1533-position model. The record is from RNAcentral.
CGCACGGGUGAGUAACACGUAUGCAACCUGCCCUCCGCAGGGGGAUAACACCUGGAAACAGGUGCUAAUACCGCAUAAGCGCACGGUCCCGCAUGGGACAGUGUGAAAAGCUCCGGCGGUAUACGAUGGAUCCGCGUCUGAUUAGCCAGUUGGCGGGGUAACGGCCCACCAAGGCGACGAUCAGUAGCCGGCCUGAGAGGGCGGACGGCCACAUUGGGACUGAGACACGGCCCAGACUCCUACGGGAGGCAGCAG